This 253-nucleotide ribosomal RNA is filed under the name uncultured bacterium. RNAcentral describes it as "partial 16S ribosomal RNA". It matches the Rfam family "Bacterial small subunit ribosomal RNA", at positions 524 to 776 of the family's 1533-position model. The record is from RNAcentral.
UACGGAAUGUGCAAACGUUACUCGGAAUUACUGGGCGUAAAGCGUGCGUAGGUGGUCCGUUAAGUCUGAUGUGAAAGCCCUGGGCUCAACCUGGGAAUGGCAUUGGAAACUGGCGACCUAGAGUGCGGUAGAGGGUAGUGGAAUUCCCGGUGUAGCAGUGAAAUGCGUAGAGAUCGGGAGGAACAUCUGUGGCGAAGGCGACUGCCUGGACCAGCACUGACACUGAGGCACGAAAGCGUGGGGAGCAAACAGG